UGAUACCACACGAAAAAUAAUUAAGAAGGCUGAAGCCGCUCACUAUGCGGCGACAUAAGCAACGCUGACCGCCAUUUUUCCUUCCAUCAUCCGCCAAUCCAACAUUAUCCCAUAACAGUGCAUACUUUGAUGCCAACGAAUUUCAACAGAAAUUCUUCUUAUCUUAACUUUACUUUAGAAUGCCAGGACUUCAUACCUUGUUUAAACACUUAGAAGAAAGUCAAACUCUUAUCGAAAACCCAGAUACAAUUUUGUUCACUGGUGGCUUAUUUCUUGACCCAAUAAUUCCUUCUUCAAUUACCACCACCACCACAAAUUUUCUAAAUGUCUCUUCAAUUGAUGAUUCUAAUGAGUUACAUUCUCCCAUUCGUCGUCGUAAACCAAUUUUCAGGCGAGAAAAGAGUGUUGGUGCCGGUUUUGGGGGUAAAUUCUUGUGUUUGAGUUUAUCAGUCAAGAAGAAUACUUGCGUUGUCGGAAAUUCCAGUGAAUGCUUGUUGAGUAAUAAUGGAGAUGAGAGUUCCAAGGUGGAGGAGCCUAGUGACGGUUCUGGAGGCGGGAGGAAGCGAAAUAUUGGGCUAAGGGGACGUCGUGGUGCAGUGAAUACCACUAAACAUUUGUGGGCUGGAGCAGUUGCUGCCAUGAUAUCAAGAACUGUUGUUGCUCCACUUGAAAGACUAAAGCUGGAAUACAUAGUUCGAGGUGAACAGAAACACCUGGUGGAGCUCAUCAAAACGAUUGCAGCUACUCAAGGCUUGAGAGGCUUUUGGAAAGGGAACUUGGUCAAUGUCCUUCGUACUGCUCCAUUUAAGGCAGUUAAUUUUUGUGCUUUUGACACAUACAGAAAGCAACUCCUAAGAUUAUCAGGAAAUGAAGAAACUACUAACAUCGAGAGGUUUGUUGCUGGUGCCGCAGCUGGAGUAACUGCUACUGUGAUGUGCUUACCACUGGACACCAUCCGGACCAAGUUAGUGGCACGGGGUGGAGAAGCCUUGGGCGGUGUAGGUGGAGCUUUCAAACACCUGAUCAGAACUGAAGGAUUCUUCUCUCUUUAUAAGGGCCUAGUACCCUCCAUCUUGAGUAUGGCCCCAGCUGCAGCUGUCUUCUAUAGUGUGUACGACAUAUUAAAAUCAGCUUAUUUGCAUUCACCUGAAGGAAGAAAAAGAAUUCAGUAUAUGAAGCAACAGGGAGCAGAGCUCAAUGCUUUGGACCAGCUUGAGUUGGGACCUAUGAGGACCUUGCUCCAUGGUGCUAUCGCUGGUGCGUGUGCUGAAGCUGCAACCUACCCAUUUGAGGUCAUUAGAAGGCAACUUCAAUUACAAGGCCGAGCAUCCAAACUGAGUGCCUUGGCAACUUGUGCAAAGAUUGUUGAACAUGGGGGUGUUCCAGCUCUAUAUGCAGGGUUAAUCCCUAGUUUACUACAGGUGUUACCUUCAGCAUCCAUAAGCUACUUUGUCUACGAGUUCAUGAAGAUUGUUCUCAAAGUGGAAUGAAGAACAUCUGUUAACAGCGAAGUAACGAGGUACAGAAGCAUUGUAUUACAAUGUUAUUCAUCACAUGAUAUUAAAGAGGAAAAAAGCUUAUCAAACAAAAAGGCUGGUAUUCUCUUCAACAGGCUGAAAAGAUAGCUGAUUAAUGAUUACCUUUUUGGGGAAAUGAAAAGGGUGAGGAGAGCAACGAUAAAGUGAGAGUAAAUUAUAAUAACUCGGCGAUGAUUGAUUUACGCUUAGUCGCUUAUAAUGUAACUCAAGUUGAACAACAGUUUGGAUGGAUAUUACACCCAUUUUAACAAUUAAAUGAUUGCAUCUCUUGUCAA
Nicotiana tabacum (common tobacco) is the source of this 1813-nucleotide RNA transcript. It is a transcript of the gene named putative mitochondrial adenine nucleotide transporter BTL3, with no coding region annotated. Lineage: Eukaryota; Viridiplantae; Streptophyta; Magnoliopsida; Solanales; Solanaceae. The record is from RefSeq and is a predicted model, not a curated record.